AACGAACGCUGGCGGCAUGCCUAACACAUGCAAGUCGAACGAGACCUUCGGGUCUAUGGGCGCACGGGUGCGUAACGCGUGGGAACCUUCCCUUAGGUUCGGAAUAACUCCCCGAAAGGGGUGCUAAUACCGGAUAAUGUCUUCGGACCAAAGAUUUAUCGCCUUUGGAUGGGCCCGCGUUGGAUUAGAUAGUUGGUAGGGUAAAAGCCUAUCAAGGCGACGAUCCAUAGCUGGUCUGAGAGGAUGAUCAGCCACACUGGGACUGAGAAACGGCCCAGACUCCUACGCGAGGGAGCAGUGGGGAAUAUUGGACAAUGGGCGAAAGCCUGAUCCAGCAAUGCCGCGUGAGUGAUGAAGGCCUUAGGGUUGUAAAGCUCUUUUACCCAGGAUGAUAAUGACAGUACCGGGAGAAUAAGCUCCGGCUAACUACGUG
Molecule: ribosomal RNA, 433 nt
Filed under: uncultured bacterium
Lineage: Bacteria
Description: partial 16S ribosomal RNA
Rfam family: Bacterial small subunit ribosomal RNA
Source: RNAcentral